This 253-nucleotide ribosomal RNA is filed under the name uncultured bacterium. Its description in RNAcentral is "partial 16S ribosomal RNA". It matches the Rfam family "Bacterial small subunit ribosomal RNA", at positions 524 to 776 of the family's 1533-position model. The record is from RNAcentral.
UACAGAGGUCUCAAGCGUUGUUCGGAUUCAUUGGGCGUAAAGGGUGCGUAGGUGGCGCUGUAAGUCGGGUGUGAAAUUUCGGAGCUUAACUCCGAAACUGCAUUCGAUACUGCGGUGCUUGAGGACUGGAGAGGAGACUGGAAUUCAUGGUGUAGCAGUGAAAUGCGUAGAGAUCAUGAGGAAGACCAGUGGCGAAGGCGGGUCUCUGGACCGAUACUGACGCUGAGGAGCGAAAGCGUGGGGAGCGAACAGG